CAGAAUCAGAAGUCGGUGUACAAGACAAUUUGUGAUUUUCUUUAGAGUAAGAGAAAGGCAUCUCCAUGGGAGAGUAUAAAUAAAUAUUAAACAGAAGUCACAAAUGUAUUGCUCAAGCUACACAGAACACAUCAUCUGUAUUGCAUCAGCUCCAAGAAACAGUGAGAAAAAGAAUAAUGUAUUCACCUGAAGGAAAAAGCUGUCACAGAGGACAAUCAGUGUAGUCCUUUGGUGUCUGCAAAAGGUCUGCCAGUGACUGUAAUUUCCUGGAUUAGAUGAACCACUCCCUCAUCCUUUAAGGCAAUGGCUACAGCUUCACUCCGGUAUUGGUGAGGUCGAGCAAGUGAAUGAAGCAGUGGGAAAUGCUAGACAAGUGCG
Long non-coding RNA from Dromaius novaehollandiae (emu), 378 nucleotides. Lineage: Eukaryota; Metazoa; Chordata; Aves; Casuariiformes; Dromaiidae. The record is from Ensembl.